Molecule: long non-coding RNA, 255 nt
Filed under: Vigna radiata
Lineage: Eukaryota; Viridiplantae; Streptophyta; Magnoliopsida; Fabales; Fabaceae
Description: long non-coding RNA (VRAD_LNC017242)
Source: RNAcentral
GAGGGAGCCAAGGUAGUGCUCUCAUUUUCUUUCUACUUUUUCUACUCAGGCAUCGAUUUUUUUAUUUUAAUUUGAGAGUCUUUUUUUUUUUCCUUUGUAUGUCCUUGUGGCUUGAAUUUCGUUCUUCAUCGUUAACUUUUUUUUUUCUUGUAAUUCUUAAUUUUUCCUUCUUGAACCUUGUCUCAAUUCCUUUUUCCAUUAUGCUAUUAUCUUUUGGAAAUCCUAAAUUACUUCUAAGAAGAAAAUCCUAAUUUC